CCCCGUAGCAAGGGGCGGGCCCCGCGCCGGGGCCUAUGUGCCGUGGCCGGCGCGGCCCAGCAGGAAGUGGGGGCAGCUGGUGCCCGGGGGCCCGAGAGUCUCUGCGCUCUGGCGCGUUUGGCAGGUGAAUUCAUCGCUCGUGGUUUCUCAGGGGCCCCAGCCUGCGCCUCUUCCUGGCUACUGCACAGUGGGAAAUGACUACACCUAACAAGACACCACCGGGUGCUGAUCCCAAGCAGUUGGAAAGGACUGGUACUGUUCGGGAAAUAGGCUCUCAAGCUGUUUGGUCCCUUUCAUCCUGUAAGCCAGGCUUUGGCGUGGACCAGUUACGAGAUGAUAAUCUAGAAACUUACUGGCAAUCUGAUGGGUCACAACCUCAUUUGGUGAACAUCCAGUUUAGAAGAAAAACAACGGUGAAGACAUUGUGUAUUUAUGCAGACUACAAAUCUGAUGAAAGCUACACCCCAAGCAAGAUCUCUGUCAGAGUAGGAAAUAACUUCCACAACCUUCAGGAAAUCCGGGAUGGAGGUGUAAGACACUUAAGAUGACACAGGCUUGGUCUGAUGGAGUUGCUGGUGCCAUGGGAAGAAAAGGCCACUUCUCUAACUAAGACUAGAGGGCAUAGAUUUCCAAAUUUUCUGAUACAUGAUUCUACCCUGUUGUGCGUAGACACUCCCGUUCUUCCUUUGGAGAGAAGAAUCAGCUCAUGUAGAUGCUCAAAGAUGGCAACUCAAAUUGAAGCCUACCACCCAAGGUGAAUUAUUGAAGACAUCAGCAAGGGGUGAUUGAUGAUCAUUCUUCUCCUAAUUCGAAGAUUCUACUUAGCUCUCAUAAAAUAAAAUGCUAUCUCCCCUCAGUGUGAAAUAGGAGUUGCUGGUGAAAGAUCAUCACAGAAUAGGACAAACAGAAAAUUGAGUGGAGAGGUUUUAAUGAAGUUCACUGCUUCAACAGCUUCAUGAAGGAUCUAGCACAGAUUUCCAGGCAUUUUCUUAGCAGCAAGAAAUUGGUGGUGUAUGAAACACUGAAGCUAUGAGGCACUAUGUGUGGUGUUUUGCAUCCAUGUGACCAGACUGCUAUUCUUUCUUGUCAUUGCUUUGGCACUGUUCCCACAGAUGGCAAUACAUGGCUUUCAGUGAAUGUGGAAAACUUUUAUUGUCUCAGAUAAGCAGUCUCUUGUUUAUCCUGUCCCAACUUUACAAAUUGGUAAGUUGCCUUCAACAGAACCUCAAGAAACAUCUCUUUCAAAUGCCAGAACCUCUGCAGCACCAGAGACAUCAGUUGACUUAGGUUGAUUUGUUAAGUAUUUGCUUUUCCUGGCUUUGGAAAGCAAUUGCUCUCAGAUGUUCAGUUAUGCCGCUAAUACAGUAUGAAAUAGCAUUAUUUGACAGAACUACUGUUUCAAAUUUGGUAGCUGCUCUAGGUCCUAUAUCUUUUGAAACCAUACCUACUGUGCAUAUAAUGAUACAGUUUUCUGCAAUGGUAUGCACUUUAUGUUGUUGAACAGGUCGGUAGAGAUACCAGAUAAAAUCUUGGUAGGGAGUUCAUUUUGACACUGUGAAUCAGAGUAAUCAAGUCUUGCUGAUUUUUUUUUUUCAAGGCUUCAAGUUUUCUCUCUCUCUCUCAAAAAAAAAUCUGUUUUCUUUUUCAGUAAUGGAUUUUUGGUUUCCAAACUCUACAGCAACCCCUCAGGCUUCAUACUCUUGGCAACUGGCAAUUUGAGAGCAUGAUGCGCAUUUGUCAAGCCAACUGACACAAUAAGAAAUGUGAUGGAUAGUUUAUUUCCACAUUUUACUUUCUUUUAGUUGUCGUUGAACUAACCUGCCACCUUCCUUUUCAUGAAACAGUCUAGAUUUCUGAAUCACCCCUAGGCUGCAACUGAUCUCCAACAAAGUUGGGAUGACACAUGCAAGUUUAUCUGAAGCUCAGCAGUAUUUUCAGGCAUUAGCCAUUGACACCUUUUGUUGGCAGUCUCAGCAGGGAGUCCAUGAAAUAUGAAACUACUCUCUGAUCCCUUUGAAGGCGUAUCCAAAACAAGGUGAAAUGUAUUGGCAGAACAUAACAAAAAAGCUGGCACUGCACUUUCUGUGCAGUUCUGGAGACUGAUUGAGAACUCCUUUUGCUGGUAAUUCAUCACUUUUCACCAGCAAUAUAUUUGUUUUAAAAAUAGUUUUUUCUAUCAAUACGAAAUGUUGGACCAGCUCCUUAGCUUCAGCCAAGGAGUGCUUGGUGACCCUUGUGGGGAGUAGGUUGGAGGUAGUGAUGCUAUAAAGAGGAAAAAUGAAAAAAAAUCACGUUGUUAAAAAUCAGUUCAGUUUAAACUUGGACCAGACAUUAAAAUACCUUCAUGACAAAGGCAUGGUUAUUGCAUGAUGUCACUACAUGGCAAGGUAUCUGGGUUCCUUAUCUUAAUAUGUGUGGAUUUCUUUUAAGUGUAACCUUAACUCAAAAUUUCAUGGGUUUGCAAUGCUCGAUUUUAGAUAAAUUACAACAUCCCUUUAAUGUGUUUUAUCCCUAAAUUACUGAUCAGUAUUCUCAACUAACUCCACCUUAAUGUAAAUUUGUCUGGAAAUUGACAGUUGUUCUCCAAUAUUUUGAAUCACUGGGAUUAAGGAUUCUUAAUUCAGUUGCGCCCACGUUAAACUGGAGUAACUCCACUGACUUCAGCUGUGUUGCUUCAGUAAUGAGAGGAUUAAAAGAGCAGUAAGAAAGUAUUUUUGUCUCAAGUCAGUGGCUACAACCUUGAGAACACACAAGGAGCAGAGUUUUUGAGAAAGAAUGUGUAUCUAUUUAACUUAGGUAAAAUCAGUGAGGUUUUAAGGGCGACCACUGUAACUGUUAACCCAACAUGUUACCUAAGCAACUUCCUGAAGCGUGCAAAAUUGGACUCUAUUAUAUAUUUUCAAGUGAUUUGUCUAGUGUAAUUGUAAACAAUUCCAGUAAUAAAGUUACAAAUGCUUCCUUUGAAAAAAUAUGCCAUAAUCCAGUUAAUUUUAUGGGGGUGAAAUAGUAUUCUGUGUUCGUGUUUAACAAACUUGUGGUCUGGACUAUCCCAAUUUAACAAUUAACAGCAUUUAACAGCAAUUAACAGCAAUUAACAGUUGGCAAUUAACAGCAUCUUUUCACUUAAAGAAAAUGGCAUGUGUAUGUGUCAAAAAUAUUUUUU
Molecule: RNA transcript, 3163 nt
Organism: Caretta caretta (loggerhead turtle)
Lineage: Eukaryota; Metazoa; Chordata; Testudines; Cheloniidae
Gene: ANAPC10
Gene name: anaphase promoting complex subunit 10
Source: RefSeq, a predicted model, not a curated record